GAUGAACGCUGGCGGCGUGCCUAAUACAUGCAAGUCGAGCGAACAGACGAGGAGCUUGCUCCUCUGACGUUAGCGGCGGACGGGUGAGUAACACGUGGAUAACCUACCUAUCAGUCUGGGAUAACUUCGGGAAACCGGCGCUAAUCCCGGAUAAUAUAUUGAACCGCAUGGUUCAAUAGUGAAAGACGGUUUUGCUGUCACUUAUAGAUGGAUCCGCGCCGCAUUAGCUAGUUGGUAAGGUAACGGCUUACCAAGGCAACGAUGCGUAGGCGACCUGAGAGAGGGAUCGGCGACACGGGAACGUAGACACGGUCCAGACUCCUAAGGUAGGCAGCAGUAGGGAAUCGUCCGCAAUGGUCGAAAGCCUGGCGGAGCAACGCCGCGUGAGAGAUGAAGGUCUUGGGAGCGUAAAACUCUGUUAUUAGGGAAGAACAAAUGUGUAAGUAACUAUGCACGUCUUGACGGUACCUAGUCAGAAAGCCACGGCUAACUACGUG
RNAcentral lists this ribosomal RNA (497 nucleotides) under uncultured bacterium. RNAcentral's name for it is "partial 16S ribosomal RNA". It matches the Rfam family "Bacterial small subunit ribosomal RNA", at positions 28 to 507 of the family's 1533-position model. The record is from RNAcentral.